This 253-nucleotide ribosomal RNA is filed under the name uncultured bacterium. Its description in RNAcentral is "partial 16S ribosomal RNA". It matches the Rfam family "Bacterial small subunit ribosomal RNA", at positions 524 to 776 of the family's 1533-position model. The record is from RNAcentral.
GACAGAGGCCUCGAGCGUUAGGCGGAAUCACUGGGCUUAAAGCGUGUGUAGGCGGGCCGUUAAGUACCUUGUGAAAUCCCCCGGCUCAACCGGGGAAUGGCUGGGUAUACUGGCGGUCUUGAGCGAUCUAGGGGCAGAUGGAACAAGUGGUGGAGCGGUGAAAUGCGUAGAUAUCACUUGGAACGCCAAAGGUGAAGACAGUCUGCUGGGGAUCUGCUGACGCUGAGACACGAAAGCCAGGGGAGCGAACGGG